This 411-nucleotide small RNA is filed under the name Pan troglodytes (chimpanzee). RNAcentral's name for it is "processed transcript". Lineage: Eukaryota; Metazoa; Chordata; Mammalia; Primates; Hominidae. The record is from RNAcentral.
CUCUGGGGUCGAGAGAGCUUCACAGACCAUUUGGGAAAGAGCCAAGCAAACACACUUCUGCAAGCCAUUUGCAUAAGUAGACAUAAUCCAUACGGAAUGAUGCACUGUUCGGUUGUAGUUUCAUUCGUCAGUGACCUGCAUCUGCCCGCCCAGUCUUGCCAUCCCUCCCUGCAGUUCCGCAGCCUCCGGCUUCCCCACCUCAGCUUGGCUGAGAGUUUCACGUUCAUCCAAGUGCUUCUUUACAGACUCACUCCCAGCUGGAGGAGGCAGAGGAUCCUGGCCAAUUUGGAGCAAGGCUUAGCAGAAGACGGCGGCAUAAGCAGCGUGACUCAGGAGGGCAGACAAGCCUCUGUCCGGCUGUGGAGGUCACGUCUGGGCCGGGUGAUGUACUCCAUGGCAAACUGUCUGCUC